GACGAACGCUGGCGGCGUGCUUAACACAUGCAAGUCGAACGGAAAGGCCCUGCUUUUGUGGGGUGCUCGAGUGGCGAACGGGUGAGUAACACGUGAGUAACCUGCCCUUGACUUUGGGAUAACUUCAGGAAACUGGGGCUAAUACCGGAUAGGAGCUCCUGCUGCAUGGUGGGGGUUGGUAAGUUUCGGCGGUUGGGGAUGGACUCGCGGCUUAUCAGCUCGUUGGUGGGGUAGUGGCUUACCAAGGCUUUGACGGGUAGCCGGCCUGAGAGGGUGACCGGCCACAUUGGGACUGAGAUACGGCCCAGACUCCUACGGGAGGCAGCAGUGGGGAAUAUUGCACAAUGGGCGGAAGCCUGAUGCAGCAACGCCGCGUGCGGGAUGACGGCCUUCGGGUUGUAAACCGCUUUCGCCUGUGACGAAGCGUGAGUGACGGUAAUGGGGAAAGAAGCACCGGCUAACUACGU
RNAcentral lists this ribosomal RNA (467 nucleotides) under uncultured bacterium. RNAcentral's name for it is "partial 16S ribosomal RNA". It matches the Rfam family "Bacterial small subunit ribosomal RNA", at positions 28 to 506 of the family's 1533-position model. The record is from RNAcentral.